UUCAUCAAUUUACAAUGCUAAAUCAAGUUAUAAUUUUUAAAUUACAAUUACAAUCAAUUUACAACCAAAAAUAAAGCCAAAAAUAAAUUACAAUAAAAAUCAAAUCAGAUCAAGCCAUGCUGACUUUGUUCACUGCCAAACCCUCUAAUGUUGAUGAUGACUGCCAUUGAUGCACAAGCCAUGCUUAUUGGUGCAUCUGUUCCUGUUUUAACUAAUUUGAGAAACAUAAAAACAUUUUUUUAAGUCAGUCUUGGUACACUUUGUGCAGAACAAAGAGACAAAAUUUUGAGUUUAAAAAAUAAACUAAGGGACAAAUUAAAGCUCAGCAACAGAACAGAUCAAAACAAAUAAAUCAAAACCAUGAAUGCAUCAGAGGUGUAGGAAAAAUGCAGAUGAUGAGCAAGGCAAUCAAAACAUUAAACAGGAAAUAGAUAGAGAAGGACCAAGGCAGACAAAGAAAGCAACUGAACACAUAAAAAACUCUAUAAAUAUACCCUAUAAAAUUUCAAAGUGCAGGAUCUGGGAUGAACACCACUGAUAAAAAACAUACAAAGAAGGAGAAAUCAAACUCGAAUAGAAAAAAUACUUAAACAGAAAAAAGGAGAAAGCAAAAGCAGUAGCAAAAGGAAACGAGCCAGAAGAAGAAAAGGUAUUUUCUUCCUUUUACAUAGUUCUAUUGUCGUAUAAAUGUAAGCUAAUAGAAAAAUAAGUUUUGUUUUUGAAAGUAAAAUAAAAAACGAAAAAAAACUCACCCCUUGGACGAUGUCAUUGUCGGUGCUGCCACCAUCGCUGAGGUUGUCGUCACCCUCCUCACCGUCGUCGAGUUUGCUGUCACCAUCCUCACCGUCGCCGAGGUUGCCGUCACCGUCCUCACCGUCGCUGUUCCCUCACAUCGUUUCUGUUUUCGCAUCCUGGUUCCAAUCGUGUGUUUGGCCGCCUCCUUUGCAACUUCGUGUUUGGCCACCUCCUUUGCAACUUCAUGUUGGCCGCCUCCUCUGCAACUUCAUGUUGGCCGCCUCCUUUGCAACUUCAUGUUGGCCGCCUCCUUUGUGUCUCAAGUUGGCCGUUUUCCUCAAAUGAAAUUAGGGUUUCUUAGUUUCAGAUUUG
This 1107-nucleotide long non-coding RNA is filed under the name Cicer arietinum (chickpea). RNAcentral describes it as "long non-coding RNA (CARI_LNC003683)". Lineage: Eukaryota; Viridiplantae; Streptophyta; Magnoliopsida; Fabales; Fabaceae. The record is from RNAcentral.